AUGGCUACGGCCGUGGCGGGGCAUCUGCGAGGAGGUCUCCUGCCCCAAGCGGGCCAGCUCCCUACCCUCCAGAGUGUAUGCCAUGGUUCUAAGGCUGUUACCCGCCACUGGCGUGUGAUGCACUUUGAGCGACAGAAGCUGAUGGCUGUGACUGAGUAUAUCCCCCCCCAAACAUGUUGUCAACCCUAGAUGCCUGCCACCUCCUCCAAGCCCUCCCAAGGAGGAAACAGACUUCAUCCGACUCCUUCGCCGAGAGGUAGCACAAGUCUUCCAAGACAACCGAAUGAUAGCCGUCUGCCAGAAUGUGGCCAUCAGUGCAGAAGAUAAGCUGCUUAUGCGGCACCAACUUCGGAAACACAAGAUCCUAAUGAAGAUCUUCCCCAGCGAGGUUUUGAAGCCUUUUCUGAAGGAGUCCAAGUAUCAAAACCUGCUGCCCCUUUUUGUGGGGCACAACCUGCUGCUGGUGAGUGAAGAGCCCAAGGUCAAGGAGAUGGUCCGGAUCUUAAGGAUUAUGCCUUUCCUGCCGCUGCUAGGUGACUGUAUUGAUGACACCAUCCUCAGCAGGCAGGGCUUCAUCAACUACUCCAAGCUGCCCAGCCUGGCCCUGGUACAAGGGGAGCUGGUAGGAGGCCUCACGCUCCUCACAGCCCAGACCCACUCCCUACUUCAGCACCAGCCCCUCCAGCUGACCACCUUGUUGGACCAGUACGUCAGACAGCAACGUGAGGGGGACUCUGUUGUUUCAGCCAGUGGGAAGCCACAUCCUCCUGACCCUGUUGCAGCCUCGUAGCCAGCCUGUUCUCCUCAGCCCUGCCAGUGAACACACUCUGCCAUGUUGGCUCUCCUGUCCUCCGUGGGAGAUGUUGAAGAACUUGGGUCGGGGAGUGGCAUGUGUUACUUGGGCUUCCACUAACAACAACCUCCUCGGGUUCAGGACCAUCUGGAGAUGCAGAAUGGAGGCCGUCUCAG
This is an RNA transcript of Otolemur garnettii (small-eared galago), 969 nucleotides long. It is a transcript of the gene named 39S ribosomal protein L10, mitochondrial pseudogene, with no coding region annotated. The transcript has a single exon. The record is from RefSeq and is a predicted model, not a curated record. Lineage: Eukaryota; Metazoa; Chordata; Mammalia; Primates; Galagidae.